Non-coding RNA from Trichobilharzia regenti, 46 nucleotides. The record is from Rfam. NCBI's taxonomy places the organism in Eukaryota, Metazoa, Platyhelminthes, Trematoda, Strigeidida, Schistosomatidae.
GUACUGCCGAUGAUUCCCAAAAUAGGACGAAACAGCUGUCCAGUAC